Molecule: long non-coding RNA, 340 nt
Organism: Apis florea (little honeybee)
Lineage: Eukaryota; Metazoa; Arthropoda; Insecta; Hymenoptera; Apidae
Source: RefSeq, a predicted model, not a curated record
GUAGUAACGUUCGAAUUUGCCAUAAUGUUAACGUCUCGUGAAAAUUUCGUGAAAAUAAUUCAGUGUUUUAGACAAGUGAAAGUGUGUGAAAUCAAAGUUUGAUAUUAAUUAUAAUUAAGUGUUAAUAAACUUUGUCGUCUUUCGUAUUCCUUUGUGCAUUUUUUCGACAAUCGAUACGAACAACAAUAUGCGUCAAUUGCAAUGAACUUCACACAAGGUGAUCGAAUCAAGAAAACAGGAGCGAAGGACGCCGCGAUUGGUGAGUCAAAAACGAACUUGCUUGAUUCGUCUGUUACGAAUCUCUGUCUCUGCUAAUUUUGAAGUAUAUCGAUGAAAGGAG